GAUGAACGCUGGCGGCGUGCCUAAUACAUGCAAGUCGAGCGAACAGACGAGGAGCUUGCUCCUCUGACGUUAGCGGCGGACGGGUGAGUAACACGUGGAUAACCUACCUAUAAGACUGGGAUAACUUCGGGAAACCGGAGCUAAUACCGGAUAAUAUAUUGAACCGCAUGGUUCAAUAGUGAAAGACGGCUUUGCUGUCACUUAUAGAUGGAUCCGCGCCGCAUUAGCUAGUUGGUAAGGUAACGGCUUACCAAGGCAACGAUGCGUAGCCGACCUGAGAGGGUGAUCGGCCACACUGGAACUGAGACACGGUCCAGACUCCUACGGGGGGCAGCAGUAGGGAAUCUUCCGCAAUGGGCGAAAGCCUGACGGAGCAACGCCGCGUGAGUGAUGAAGGUCUUCGGAUCGUAAAACUCUGUUAUUAGGGAAGAACAAAUGUGUAAGUAACUAUGCACGUCUUGACGGUACCUAAUCAGAAAGCCACGGCUAACUACGUG
This 497-nucleotide ribosomal RNA is filed under the name uncultured bacterium. Its description in RNAcentral is "partial 16S ribosomal RNA". It matches the Rfam family "Bacterial small subunit ribosomal RNA", at positions 28 to 507 of the family's 1533-position model. The record is from RNAcentral.